Molecule: ribosomal RNA, 403 nt
Filed under: uncultured bacterium
Lineage: Bacteria
Description: partial 16S ribosomal RNA
Rfam family: Bacterial small subunit ribosomal RNA
Source: RNAcentral
GACGAACGCUGGCGGCGUGCCUAAUACAUGCAAGUCGAACGCAGUGGGGACGGGUGAGUAACACGUGGGUAACCUCCCAUCAGAGGGGAUAACACUUGGUAACAGGUGCUAAACCGAUACUGAUGGAUGGACCCGCGGUUCAUUAGCUAGUUGGUGAGGUAACGGCGCACCAAGGCCACGAUGCAUAGCCGAGAUAGGAGGGUGAUGGGGAACACGUGGACUGAGGCACGGCCCAGACUGCUACGAGAGGCAGAAGAAGGGAAUGUGCGGCAAUGGACGAAAGUCUGACCGAGCAACGCCGCGGUAGUGAAGAGGGUGUUCGGAUCGUAAAGCUCUGUUGUUUGAGAAGCGGUAUGUAGCCAAGAAGCGACGGCUAACUACGUGCCAGCAGCCGCGGUAAUUC